CAUCCAUGGUGAGGACAAUCUGAUAUGUAUCCUUGAAAACGCUCCCAUGCUUCUGAAACGGUUUCUGUCCUCUACUGUUGGAAACUGACAAUAUUUUGUCUUAAGGCA
Molecule: small nucleolar RNA, 108 nt
Organism: Sorghum bicolor (sorghum)
Lineage: Eukaryota; Viridiplantae; Streptophyta; Magnoliopsida; Poales; Poaceae
Rfam family: Plant small nucleolar RNA R71
About the family: R71 is a member of the C/D box family of snoRNAs containing the C (UGAUGA) and D (CUGA) box motifs. Multiple nearly identical copies of this snoRNA have been identified in Arabidopsis, and it is thought to function as a 2'-O-ribose methylation guide for 18S ribosomal RNA.
Source: Rfam